AGUGAACGCUGGCGGUAGGCCUAACACAUGCAAGUCGAACGGCAGCACAGUAAGAGCUUGCUCUUACGGGUGGCGAGUGGCGGACGGGUGAGGAAUACAUCGGAAUCUACUUUUUCGUGGGGGAUAACGUAGGGAAACUUACGCUAAUACCGCAUACGACCUACGGGUGAAAGCAGGGGAUCUUCGGACCUUGCGCGAUUGAAUGAGCCGAUGUCGGAUUAGCUAGUUGGCGGGGUAAAGGCCCACCAAGGCGACGAUCCGUAGCUGGUGUGAGAGGAUGAUCAGACACACUGGAACUGAGACACGGUCCAGACUCUUACGGGAGGCAGCAGUGGGGAAUAUUGGACAAUGGGCGCAAGCCUGAUCCAGCCAUACCGCGUGGGUGAAGAAGGCCUUCGGGUUGUAAAGCCCUUUUGUUGGGAAAGAAAAGCAGCAGGUUAAUACCCCGCUGUUCUGACGGUACCCAAAGAAUAAGCACCGGCUAACUUCGUG
This 492-nucleotide ribosomal RNA is filed under the name uncultured bacterium. Its description in RNAcentral is "partial 16S ribosomal RNA". It matches the Rfam family "Bacterial small subunit ribosomal RNA", at positions 29 to 507 of the family's 1533-position model. The record is from RNAcentral.